Long non-coding RNA from Gasterosteus aculeatus aculeatus (three-spined stickleback), 3002 nucleotides. Lineage: Eukaryota; Metazoa; Chordata; Actinopteri; Perciformes; Gasterosteidae. The record is from Ensembl.
ACAGACACGCUGCCAUUUCUAGGGCCGUCCAGAGAGAGGGUGUCAAAUGGAAAUAUGUGUACGGCACGGAGAGAUGGUGAAGGACGUGAGACAGAGAAAUGGCUCGCCGAAGCGACGGAGUGGGUGGAAGAGCAGAAGACAUAGAGGGAGAAGGGUAGAGAGUCAUAACUUUCCUGUUAUUAUGGAAAGAAGGAAAAAGAGCAGCCAAGAAUUCAGAUAUCGGACGACUCAACUGGACCUUUGUUCACUAAUAAUGUCUUUUUCAAUAUUUUUACAUCUAAUAUAAAAGCUCUUCAAGUUUCAGUUCUCGCUUCCUACAAUAUAUGCCACGCUAUAAUGUCAUAAGGUCUUGGUUAUGAAAAAUAAACUGUGUCGGUGGUUAUACAACUGAAAGACGUGGUCAAGGUUCGAAAGAACCCGUAGAGCGAGCUUGUCGUAAACAUUCAACCACACGGGUGAAUGUGAAAACAACACCGGAGGCUGCACACGUCUCCGCACACCGUGAGAUGAUCAGGAGGUAGCUGCUACCCAACCGAGGGUCACGCCAGCGCUUCACCGCCGCAACGCUCCAAGGUCAAGGAAUUUAACUGUCGAGCUUAUUUUCAAACGGGGAAAUGUGUCUACUACGGUUGAGAAACGGUAUCGAUAAUCGUGGCGAGCAGAGCGGCGGCUAAACCAGCCGUGACCAGACUGUAGUUGCUCUCCGCCCCCCCCCCGUCCUCAGCUGAUCAAAGGGAGAUUAGGAAAUUUGAUUACGAAUGCCAGUUGCUUUUUUUUUUUUUUUUUCAUCAAAAUGCCCUGAAGAUAGACUUUUCUAAAUGAUCUAACGCAGGCUGGCAAUACUCUGUUAUAGAAUUAGCCAGACGUGUAAUUUAAUAACGGUUGGAUGGAUGGAUGUGAAAGAAUGAGAGAGAUUCAGGGGGGUGAGAGACUGGAUUUUACAGUUGAUUUCAGUUUGCUUUAUUGAAGCCUGGUCUCGUGUGCGUGUGCGUGUGCGUGUGCGUGUGUGCACAAAAGUGUGUGUGUGUGUGUGUGACAUUGCCUUAAGGAGACAUGGGACAAAAAUGACAAAUGUUUUUUUAAACUCUUAGUGACAGACUAUAGAAAUGUGUUGUGUGUUUUUAUGUGUCAAGAGAAGAGAGCACAUACUAUACAAUAGAUGUGUUGUAGCCCCAGUAUGAUCCUUCCCUAAUGGGUCAUGCUUAAUCUCCACAGCCAAUAGAAGUCUCUUCAGGAAACUGCAAUAUAUCUACUGCCAACUUGAGCAACUUUGGGAUGAACUUUUUAAUAUCAUCCUCAUCUUUUCAAUUCUUAACUGUUAUAUGUCUGAUGAAGCAAAAGGCCCGUCGCAAAAUUAUUAUCUUUCUGAGACGCAUUUCAAGAAUGACCUUGAAAAUUAAAUCGUUAUCAUUUAUUGGUGAGAAGAUCAUUGCUCCUCCUAUUUCAUUUCAUUUCAUUUACUUUCUAGAUUCACAGUGCAAAAGUAAGAGCUGUGAUUCAAUUUCCUUUUAUUAUCCUCUUGGAAAGAUUUCAGAAAUUUAAUUUCUCAUCUAUUUAAAAAUAAAAAUGUUUUCAGUAGAAGUGAUUUUCACCCUAACAUCAUGUCCAUGCACAGAUAUGUUUAUAGUUGUAUCUUAUUCACAGUUAUGGAAAAUAAAAGAAAGAAAUGUCUCAACCUCCUAAAAAAAAAAGUAUAAAUAAGUAUCUAUCUGAGUUUACGUGUAUUCUAAUUGUUUGUUUUUAACCAAAGACUCAUUGAGUUAAAAGUUCAGUCAACAGCCGUGAUAGGCCCUUACAGCAAGGCUUCACUGGGAAUAGUCCCUCAAUUUUUCAGUUCCUACUAUUAACUUACCAUUUAAAUACUGUAUCUGUGUCUGUGUGUGUGUGUGUGUCAAUGAGUUUGAGUCGUUUUAUAUUUGUAUGUGUGCGUCUGUAACAAAUGAUCUAAUGCAACCCUUAAAUUUAUGACAAAUGUUUCAUACAGUUAAAUCGCUCAAUCGCAUUCAGUUUUCAUAAGAAGCCUGAGACCACAUGCACGCACACAAAUGCACACAAGAAUAAUAACCCUUAAAAAUAAUUAUCAUCACUCAUUGUGGCUUCCACUCCUCAGAGAUUCUUGUGUCCACCGUGUGUGUAUUUGUGUGUGAGGUUGUGCAUAUAAUUUCCUUGUUAAACAAUCACGUUUUGUGGUUCAUCCUGUGUGCGUGUGUGUGUUUGUGUGUCUGUGUGCUGGUUUUUGAUGUGGCUUUGUUCAACAGAAAAACAAGCUUUUAAGUUUCACAGAGAAAAUCCUCAAAUCCCCAAAUGGAUUGAUAAUUACAAACAGGACAAGACCAAUACGUGUAACUGUGUGUGUGUGUGUGUGUGUGUGUGUGUGUAACUUUGUGUGUGUGUGUGUGUGUGUGUGUGUGUGUGUGUGUGUGUGUGUGUGUGUGUGUGUGUCGUGGGGUUGUAGCCAAACAUGUUUUAUGCGUUUCUAUGGAACUAUAAUGACAAAUUCCUGCCACCGCUCAAGUAGAAGUAAGAAAGCUUCAGGAGAGAGGACAGAGAGACGGCCGGUGAUUUACAUUGUGAGAUGAGCAAAAACAAUAGAAACCAAAGAGAUGGAGAGAAAACCAGCAAGAUGGGGAAAAAAACGUGAUAAAGACAUUUUAAUAGAGAGGAAGUGAAAAUCUUGAAUAAUAUUAACUAGCUCUUUGAUGCCAGAUGCUAAGCCAGGAUGGUUUCAUUUAGAGCCAUUACAAUGUUUCUUUGCAUUACCGAAAGCCUCUGCCUUGGCAGAAUAGGCGAUUCUUAAGUGGUUUCAAUCUUUAUAUGAGCCAAAAAUCUAUUAAUUGUAACCGUAAAGAGCUUUUGUUGUGUGCGCAUAAUCUGUUUCCUUUCUCAAUUUCUGUAAUGUUUUGAUUUAAAUGUGCGAAACUGCAGCACAUUCAAAAGGGCUUAAGAAGUAUUGUUGAUGGUUGGCUGUCAUGCCGAGGAAGCAUCUUUUGAUGAGAAAAUGA